UAAGGAAUAUUGGUCAAUGGACGCAAGUCUGAACCAGCCAUGCCGCGUGAAGGAUGAAGGUCCUCUGGAUUGUAAACUUCUUUUAUCUGGGACGAAAACGGGAUUUUUAUCUCAAUUGACGGUACCAGAGGAAUAAGCACCGGCUAACUUCGUGCCAGCAGCCGCGGUAAUACGGAGGGUGCGAGCGUUAUCCGGAUUUACUGGGUUUAAAGGGUGCGUAGGUGGGCUUAUAAGUCAGUGGUGAAAUCUCCGAGCUUAACUUGGAAACUGCCGUUGAUACUAUAGGUCUUGAAUUAUCUGGAGGUCAGCGGAAUAUGUCAUGUCGCGGGGAAAUGCUUAGAUAUGACAUAGAACACCAAGUGCGAAGGCAGCUUACUACAUAUAAAUUGACGCUGAGGCACGAAAGCGUGGGGAUCAAACA
RNAcentral lists this ribosomal RNA (421 nucleotides) under uncultured bacterium. Its description in RNAcentral is "bacterial SSU rRNA". It matches the Rfam family "Bacterial small subunit ribosomal RNA", at positions 355 to 774 of the family's 1533-position model. The record is from RNAcentral.